GCGCGUAGGAGUCUUGAGAAGGGCUGUCCCUAGUACGAGAGGACCGGGACGGACGAACCUCUGGUGUGCCAGUUGUUCUGCCAAGGGCAUGGCUGGUUGGCUACGUUCGGGAGGGAUAACCGCUGAAAGCAUCUAAGCGGGAAGCCUGCUUCGAGAUGAGGACUCCCACCCACUUGAUGGGGUAAGGCUCCCAGUAGACGACUGGGUUGAUAGGCCGGAUCUGGAAGCCAGGUAACUGGUGGAGGUGACCGGUACUAAUAGGCCGAGGGCUUGUCCUC
This 278-nucleotide ribosomal RNA is filed under the name Streptomyces sp. DconLS. RNAcentral describes it as "23S rRNA. Bacterial LSU". It matches the Rfam family "Bacterial large subunit ribosomal RNA", at positions 2649 to 2925 of the family's 2925-position model. The record is from RNAcentral. Lineage: Bacteria; Bacillati; Actinomycetota; Actinomycetes; Kitasatosporales; Streptomycetaceae.